RNAcentral lists this long non-coding RNA (581 nucleotides) under Apteryx rowi (Okarito brown kiwi). Its description in RNAcentral is "lncRNA (ENSARWG00000018189.1)". Lineage: Eukaryota; Metazoa; Chordata; Aves; Apterygiformes; Apterygidae. The record is from RNAcentral.
GCUGCCGCCGUCCCCCGCAGCCUGGCAGCCCGGCUCCGAGCCGACGCCGAUCCGACGCCGCCGGAUGAGGAUGAGGCGCCCGCAGGGAUCCCGCUGUCCCCGUCCCCCCCGUCCCCGUCUCCGUCCCCCCCGGGGUGACGCCGCAUCCCAAUAAACGCCGGUGUCCGGUGAAAGGGGGGGGGGGGGCCGCGGCCCCCGGCGUCGCCUUUAAUUCCCGCCGCGUCGCCGGGGCGGAAACGGCCCCGGAGAGACCCCCGGGACCCGCCGCCGGGAUUCGGGGCCGGGAACAAGUCCAGAGCCAUCGUUUGGGGUCAGGAGCCGGGAUUCGGGAUUCAGGGCCAGGAACAAGUCCGGAGCCACCGUUCAGGGUCAGGAGCCGGGAUUUGGGGCCAGGAGCUGGGAUUCAGGACUGGGAACAAGUCCAGAGCCACUGUUCGGGGCCGGGAGCCGGGAUUCAGGCCUGGGAAUUGGGAUUCGGGGACCGGAGCGAACCCGGAGCCACCGUUCGGGGCCGGGAGCUGGGAUUCAGGGCCAGGAACUGGGAUUUGGGGACCGGAGCGAACCUGGAGCCACCGUUCGGG